This is a long non-coding RNA of Etheostoma spectabile (orangethroat darter), 304 nucleotides long. RefSeq lists it as uncharacterized. The transcript is spliced from 3 exons. The record is from RefSeq and is a predicted model, not a curated record. NCBI's taxonomy places the organism in Eukaryota, Metazoa, Chordata, Actinopteri, Perciformes, Percidae.
AGAUGGAGCGCCUCGAACAAAGCCAUUAAUCAGAAAAAUAAAACGUAUUUUCACCGAUUCAUCACUAGAAAUGGACCUAUAGCAAGCAUCUCAACUAACGUUAUCCACAUUCAUCAAUGAAAUAUCCCGCUACAAAAGUCCUAAAAGUCGGAAGUUAGAACGGAAGUACAAAGAGUCGAUGACACAGCGUCUCGUCUUGUCGUAUUAGUGUGAACUGGCAGGUUUCAGAACGCUGCAGACCGGCUCGUUGCAAGUAGUUGUGAGUUUCACCUUGUCUCGUCCCCAAUCUUUGGUCUGGACUGGG